Molecule: ribosomal RNA, 507 nt
Filed under: uncultured bacterium
Lineage: Bacteria
Description: bacterial SSU rRNA
Rfam family: Bacterial small subunit ribosomal RNA
Source: RNAcentral
UAGUCCACGCCGUAAACGAUGGACACUUGGUGUUGGAGGUAUUGACCCCUUCAGUGCCGUAGCUAACGCGUUAAGUGUCCCACCUGGGGAGUACGUUCGCAAGAAUGAAACUCAAAGGAAUUGACGGGGGCCCGCACAAGCGGUGGAGCACGUGGUUUAAUUCGAUGAUACGCGAGGAACCUUACCAGGGCUUAAAUGUAAGUUGCAUUAGGCAGAGAUCCUUAUUUCUUCGGACUACUUACAAGGUGCUGCAUGGUUGUCGUCAGCUCGUGCCGUGAGGUGUCAGGUUAAGUCCUAUAACGAGCGCAACCCCUAUCACUAGUUGCCAGCAUUAAGUUGGGGACUCUAGUGAGACUGCCCGCGUAAGCGGCGAGGAAGGUGGGGACGACGUCAAAUCAUCAUGGCCUUUAUGCCUAGGGCUACACACGUGCUACAAUGGUGCAUACAGAGGGCUGCGAAGCCGCGAGGUGGAGCUAAUCUCAGAAAGUGCAUCCCAGUUCGGAUUGG